GAUGAACGCUGACAGAAUGCUUAACACAUCAGCAAAUGAUUGGAGGCGGACGGGUGAGUAACGCGUAAAGAACUUACCUCACAGUUAGGCACAACAUUUGGAAACGAAAGCUAAUACCUAAUACUGUGAGAGAGCUUUGCGUCCCAUUAGCUAGUUGGAAAGGUAAACGCUCACCAAGGCGAUGAUGGGUAGCCGGCCUGAGAGGGUGAUCGGCCACAAGGGGACUGAGACACUGCCCUUACGCCUACGGGAGGCAGCAGUGGGGAAUAUUGGACAAUGGACCAAAGUCUGAUGCAGCAAUUCUGUGUGUACGAUGAAGUUGUCGGAAUGUAAAGUGCUUUCAGUUGAGAAACGGUACCAACAGAAGAAGUGACGGCUAAAUACGUGCCAGCAGCCGCGGUAAUAC
This 406-nucleotide ribosomal RNA is filed under the name uncultured bacterium. RNAcentral describes it as "partial 16S ribosomal RNA". It matches the Rfam family "Bacterial small subunit ribosomal RNA", at positions 28 to 526 of the family's 1533-position model. The record is from RNAcentral.